Non-coding RNA from Pelobates cultripes (western spadefoot toad), 228 nucleotides. The record is from the annotation of a GenBank genome assembly. NCBI's taxonomy places the organism in Eukaryota, Metazoa, Chordata, Amphibia, Anura, Pelobatidae.
CUGCUAUGUUAAUAGCUUGCUAGACCCUGCAAGAGCCUCCUGUAUGUGAUUAAAGUUCAAUUUAGAGAUUGAGAUACAAUUAUUUAAGGUAAAUUACAUCUGUUUGAAAGUGAAACCAGUUUUUUUUUUUUUCAUGCAGGCUCUGUCAAUCAUAGCCAGGGGAGGUGUGGCUAGGGCUGCAUAAACAGAAACAAAGUGAUUUAACUCCUAAAUGGCAGUGAAUUGAGC